Molecule: long non-coding RNA, 946 nt
Organism: Zophobas morio
Lineage: Eukaryota; Metazoa; Arthropoda; Insecta; Coleoptera; Tenebrionidae
Exons: 3
Source: RefSeq, a predicted model, not a curated record
GGCGCUCAUUGAUGUGAGGGAACUAUUCGUGAGAAAAACUGCGCUGUCAUUGCUUCGUCCCAGUAUUCGAGCAUAUUUUUGAAUGCUUGAGCAGUGUUCUUGUCAUGUUGCACAAGUUGGUACAAUGAAUUCUGUACUGUGAUCCAAUCGUAUUUAUUCCGUAACUGAAGGUAAAGUCUUUUUGUUAAGCCCCCUGUUCAUGAUGAGGCGGUUGUGUGGGCUGAACCAUUCAUAGAGCUGGUUUUUUACUUGGUCUUUAUGUAUGAUGAACUUUGUGAAGAUUUUCUUUGAUCUUGCCGCGAUUGUAAUGGUUGCAUAGUUGUGUCCUAAUUGAGAUCUUUCAUCUACAUGUAAUUUCUCGGUUAUUCUCAUUUUGUGGAUUUCUUUUGUGUUCAUUGACCUCUUUUUUUCGGGGGAGAUGCACACUUCGCAUUCUUGGUUUUUAAAGGGCUGAAUUCCAGGCAUUUUGUGCUUUAGCUGUUUGUAAUUAGGAUGUCCGUAUUUACAAUGCUUAAGAGGCUGAAUUUCGUGCUUUCCAAGCCUGCCGGUUUUCUUUUGGUCAUUAGUUAGUGGUUGAUUACAUACGCUGACGGAAUGUUUGUAUUGAGGUCGGUUCUCAUCGCCUUUUUCGCUUUGGUGUCUCCAGUUCUAAGCUUGAUUUUGACUGUUUGGUGCCUGAAGGUAGUUGUGAAGCCGCCUUCGUUAAAUUUGCCACUGGCAAGAGGUUUUGCUUGAAGUUUAUAUCAUAUAUAGCUUUACCUUGGUCCAAUGCUGCUAAACUCCAGUCCUUUUCGUCGCUUAAUUUUGGAUUAUGUACGGGUAGGCGGAUUUAUCUAAAAUCAUAAUGAGAAGAUAGCUAGCCUUACAUCAGUUUGAAGAAGUGCUGUGGUUUCUUUGGGCUCUAGCUUGAAUUUUGCAAGCCACUUCCUUGUUCCCGAUUUCAUGA